UACGUAGGGAGCAAGCGUUAUCCGGAAUUACUGGGUGUAAAGGGAGCGUAGACGGUAAUGCAAGUCUGGAGUGAAAGGCGGGGGCCCAACCCCCGGACUGCUCUGGAAACUAUGUUACUAGAGUGCAGGAGAGGUAAGCGGAAUUCCUAGUGUAGCGGUGAAAUGCGUAGAUAUUAGGAGGAACACCAGUGGCGAAGGCGGCUUACUGGACUGUAACUGACGUUGAGGCUCGAAAGCGUGGGGAGCAAACAGG
This 253-nucleotide ribosomal RNA is filed under the name uncultured bacterium. RNAcentral describes it as "partial 16S ribosomal RNA". It matches the Rfam family "Bacterial small subunit ribosomal RNA", at positions 524 to 776 of the family's 1533-position model. The record is from RNAcentral.